AGUGAACGCUGGCGGUAGGCCUAACACAUGCAAGUCGAACGGCAGCACAGUAAGAGCUUGCUCUUACGGGUGGCGAGUGGCGGACGGGUGAGGAAUACAUCGGAAUCUACUUUUUCGUGGGGGAUAACGUAGGGAAACUUACGCUAAUACCGCAUACGACCUACGGGUGAAAGCAGGGGAUCUUCGGACCUUGCGCGAUUGAAUGAGCCGAUGUCGGAUUAGCUAGUUGGCGGGGUAAAGGCCCACCAAGGCGACGAUGCGUAGCUGGUCUGAGAGGAUGAUCAGCCACACUGGAACUGAGACACGGUCCAGACUCCUACGGGAGGCAGCAGUGGGGAAUAUUGGACAAUGGGCGCAAGCCUGAUCCAGCCAUACCGCGUGGGUGAAGAAGGCCUUCGGGUUGUAAAGCCCUUUUGUUGGGAAAGAAAAGCAGCAGGUUAAGACCCCGCUGUUCUGACGGUACCCAAAGAAUAAGCACCGGCUAACUUCGUG
Molecule: ribosomal RNA, 492 nt
Filed under: uncultured bacterium
Lineage: Bacteria
Description: partial 16S ribosomal RNA
Rfam family: Bacterial small subunit ribosomal RNA
Source: RNAcentral